AUGAACGCUGGCGGCGUGCCUAAUACAUGCAAGUCGAGCGAACAGACGCGGAGCUUGCUCCUCUGACGUUAGCGGCGGACGGGAGAGUAACACGUGGAUAACCUACCUAUAGGACUGGGAUAACUUCGGGAAACCGGGGCUAAUACCGGAUAAUAUAUUGAACCGCAUGGCUCCAUAGUGAAAGUCGGUUUUGCUGUCACUUAUUGAUCGAUCCGCGCCGCAUUAGCUAGUUGGUAAGGUAACGGCUUACCAAGGCAACGAUGCGUAGCCGCCCUGAGAGGGAGAUCCGCCACCCGGUAUGUGAGACUCGGCCGACACUCCUACGCUGGGACGCAGUCCGGAAUCUUACGCAAUGGGCGAGAGCCUGACGGAGCAACGCCGCGUGAGUGAUGAAGGUCUUCUGCUCGGUAAGCUCUGUUAUUAGGGAGGAAGAAAUGUGUAAGUGACUAUGCACGUCUUGACGGUACCGAAUCAGAAAGCCCCGGCUAACUUCGUG
RNAcentral lists this ribosomal RNA (496 nucleotides) under uncultured bacterium. RNAcentral describes it as "partial 16S ribosomal RNA". It matches the Rfam family "Bacterial small subunit ribosomal RNA", at positions 29 to 507 of the family's 1533-position model. The record is from RNAcentral.